This 274-nucleotide ribosomal RNA is filed under the name uncultured bacterium. RNAcentral describes it as "partial 16S ribosomal RNA". It matches the Rfam family "Bacterial small subunit ribosomal RNA", at positions 523 to 796 of the family's 1533-position model. The record is from RNAcentral.
AUACGGAGGGUGCAAGCGUUAUGCGGAUUUACUGGGUUUAAAGGGUGCGCAGGCGGUAAUAUAAGUCAGUGGUGAAAGCCUACAGCUCAACUGUAGAACUGCCAUUGAAACUGUAUUACUUGAGUAUGGUAGAGGUAGGCGGAAUACAACAUGUAGCGGUGAAAUGCAUAGAUAUGUUGUAGAACACCGAUUGCGAAGGCAGCUUACUAAACCAUUACUGACGCUCAGGCACGAAAGCGUGGGGAGCGAACGGGAUUAGAAACCCUAGUAGUCC